GGAGGGUGCAAGCGUUACCCGGAAUCAUUGGGCGUAAAGCGUGCGCAGGCGGAAUGUUAAGUCAGAUGUCAAAGACCACAGCUCAACUGUGGGCAGGUAUCUGAAACUGGCAAUCUAGAGUCUUGCAGAGGUAUGUGGAAUUCUGUGUGUAGGGGUAAAAUCCGUAGAUACACAGAGGAACAUCAAAAGCGAAGGCAGCAUACUGGGCAAGUACUGACGCUGUUGCACGAAAGCGUGGGUAGCGAACAGGAUUAGAUACCCUGGUAGUCCCACGCCCGUAAACUAUGGAUACUCGGUGUUGGAGGACUCGACCCCCUUCAGUGCCUAAGCUAACGCAUUAAGUAUCCCGCCUGGGGAGUACGGUCGCAAGAUUA
Molecule: ribosomal RNA, 374 nt
Filed under: uncultured organism
Description: partial 16S ribosomal RNA
Rfam family: Bacterial small subunit ribosomal RNA
Source: RNAcentral